Non-coding RNA from Triticum aestivum (bread wheat), 121 nucleotides. The record is from Rfam. NCBI's taxonomy places the organism in Eukaryota, Viridiplantae, Streptophyta, Magnoliopsida, Poales, Poaceae.
AUUAUAUUCCCUCCGUCCCAAAAUUCUUGUCUUAGAUUUGUCCAAAUACGGAUGUAUAAAGUCGGUACAUCUGUAUUUGGACAAAUCUAAGACAAGAAUUUUGGGACGGAGGGAGUAUAAU